AUGAGCUCACUACAAGAUCUCAAAGAUUCCAAGCCACUGGCUGCUCCCAAGCAUAAAGCCACCCUUCUGGAGAGGCGGCAGGAAGGAAGCCUGGAGGAGGCUCCACUUUUGGCCAGAGGACAGACCACCUUCUCAGGUCUCUGGGGGAACUGCUGAAGGACAGUGAGGGAGAUGUUCCUGGUCCCCAGGACAGAAACACAGCAGCUGGAACCAAGAAGCACCUGGAGUGGGACUCAAGCCAAGCACCCCUUCAGACUGAAGCUCUUUGAGCUGCAUGUGGUUCCUGAUUGGACUGUUUUUGCUUUGCCGCCACCUGCAUAACACUGUUCUGGAUGCUUUUGAAUUAUUGGCUUUCUUUCCCCUCCCCCC
This is an RNA transcript of Odobenus rosmarus divergens (Pacific walrus), 369 nucleotides long. RefSeq lists it as uncharacterized. Lineage: Eukaryota; Metazoa; Chordata; Mammalia; Carnivora; Odobenidae. The record is from RefSeq and is a predicted model, not a curated record. The transcript has 2 exons.